AGUGGCGCACGGGUGCGUAACACGUAUGCAACCUACCCUUUACUGGGGAAUAACCCCGCGAAAGCGGGGCUAAUACCCCAUGGUAUUAUUGAGUGGCAUCACUUAAUAUUUAAAGAUUUAUUGGUAAAGGAUGGGCAUGCGUCCCAUUAGUUAGUUGGUAAGGUAACGGCUUACCAAGACGAUGAUGGGUAGGGGUUCUGAGAGGAUUAUCCCCCACACUGGUACUGAGACACGGACCAGACUCCUACGGGAGGCAGCAGUAAGGAAUAUUGGGCAAUGGUCGAGAGACUGACCCAGCCAUGCCGCGUGCAGGAAGACGGCCUUAUGGGUUGUAAACUGCUUUUAUAUGGGACUAACCUACUCUACGUGUAGAGUACUGCAUGUACCAUAAGAAUAAGCAUCGGCUAACUCCGUGCCAGCAGCCGCGGUAAUACGGAGGAUGCAAGCGUUAUCCGGAAUCAUUGGGUUUAAAGGGUGCGUAGGCGGACUAGUAAGUCAGUGGUGAAAUCUCCGGGCUCAACCUGGAGUCUGCCAAUGAUACUGUUAGUCUAGAGUUUAGAUGAUGUUGGCGGAAUGUGUCAUGUAGCGGUGAAAUGCAUAGAUAUGACACAGAACACCGAUAGCGAAGGCAGCUGACAAAACUAACACUGACGCUGAUGCACGAAAGCGUGGGGAUCAAACAGGAUUAGAUACCCU
This 696-nucleotide ribosomal RNA is filed under the name uncultured bacterium. RNAcentral's name for it is "bacterial SSU rRNA". It matches the Rfam family "Bacterial small subunit ribosomal RNA", at positions 94 to 788 of the family's 1533-position model. The record is from RNAcentral.